This 153-nucleotide ribosomal RNA is filed under the name uncultured bacterium P25-4. RNAcentral describes it as "partial 16S ribosomal RNA". It matches the Rfam family "Bacterial small subunit ribosomal RNA", at positions 338 to 507 of the family's 1533-position model. The record is from RNAcentral.
CCUACGGGAGGCAGCAGCAAGGGAUAUUGCACAAUGGACGAAAGUCUGACGCAGCGACGCCGCGUGAGGGAUGAAGGCCUUCGGGUCGUAAACCUCUUUUAUUGGUGAAGAGUAAGGACGGUAACCAGUGAAUAAGCCCCGGCUAACUACGUG